RNAcentral lists this ribosomal RNA (387 nucleotides) under Triticum aestivum (bread wheat). Its description in RNAcentral is "partial small subunit ribosomal RNA". The record is from RNAcentral. Lineage: Eukaryota; Viridiplantae; Streptophyta; Magnoliopsida; Poales; Poaceae.
CCCUCGUUUUCCCCUUCCCAUUGCUUGUUCUCUUCCUCUGCAUCUCUUCGACACUGUCGUCGCCGUGCACCGCUCGAUCCCGCGGCCACUGGCACCCCCGAGCGCCGAGACCUUGACUACGAGGGGCACCGCCCACUACUUCUUCCUCCUAGACCACCAGCUGGAGCCGGGAAGCUCUCCUCCAUCGGAUCGCCUCGCUCCACCACCGUGGGCAUCGCCGCUGCCGCUGCCUCGACCUGCAACAUCGGCGCCCCACCGACCUCUCCAAGCACGCCCCGACCACACUACGUUGGAGUCCAAGAGCAAGACGCCACCGUUCACGAUGACUCCUACUACACUGGAGGUGCCUACUACUACGUGCAGCCCGCUGUCGAUGACCAGGAGUAG